GUGAUUCAUCUACCUGCUGUCUAGGUUUCAAGACACACAAGUUGGACUAGAAUUGUAACUGAGCAGAUAUUCCUAUUUCUGAUUGUCAUCCUAGAAUGCCUGCUGUGACUCUGACAUCAUCAAUUAGCUCAAUACAUGGGCACAGUCGGACCUGCCCCAAAGCCUGUGAUUUGAGAAAACACAAGAAAACCUUCCCCUAGCCUCCAAACCACUUAGGUGUGGGUACCUGAAAUUUCUCAGUUAGAACUUAAUGCCUUUAUCCCUUUGGCUUAAGCCAAAUAAGAAACUUAGUCCUUGUUAAAAUGAAAAUACUCUUGGGAGAUGUAACACAUCAAACUCUGUCAUUCAUUAGACUUCAGGGGGAAUGAAUUUGUUAAAUCCUUUUCUAAAAUGAAGUUUAAUUAGUGAAGACACAGAAAAAUCUAGAAAAUUGGAACCCAGUUGGGAUGGUGUUGAGAAAAGAGAUAAAAAUAAAUCUUUUUUUAACUUUUUAAUAAUAGUCAUUCUGACUGGUGUGAGAUGAUAUCUCAUUGUGGUUUUUAUUUGCAUUUCUCUAAUCAGUGAUAUUGAGCUUUUUUUCAUAUGCUUGUUGGCCACAUAUAUGUUUUCUUUUAAAAAAUGUCUGUUCAUGUCCUUUGUGCACUUUUUAAUGGGGUUGUUUGUGUUUUUUUCUUAUAAAUGUGUUUAAAUUCCUUAUAGAUCCUGGGAUAUUAGACCUUUGUUAGAUGCAUAGUUUGCAAAUAUUUUCUCCCAUUCUGUAGGUUGUCUGUUUACUCUGUACAAUAAACACCGAUGACAUGAGUUUUACCUAUAUAACAAACCUGCGCAUGUCUCCCUGAA
RNAcentral lists this long non-coding RNA (840 nucleotides) under Homo sapiens (human). Its description in RNAcentral is "HSALNT0168463". The record is from RNAcentral. Lineage: Eukaryota; Metazoa; Chordata; Mammalia; Primates; Hominidae.